This 910-nucleotide ribosomal RNA is filed under the name uncultured bacterium. RNAcentral describes it as "bacterial SSU rRNA". It matches the Rfam family "Bacterial small subunit ribosomal RNA", at positions 33 to 934 of the family's 1533-position model. The record is from RNAcentral.
ACGCUGGCGGCAGGCUUAACACAUGCAAGUCGAACGGUAACAGGAAUUAGCUUGCUAAUUUGCUGACGAGUGGCGGACGGGUGAGUAAUGCUUGGGAAUCUGGCUUAUGGAGGGGGAUAACUACGGGAAACUGUAGCUAAUACCGCGUAAAAUCUUCGGAUUAAAGGGUGGGACUUUCGAGCCACCUGCCAUAAGAUGAGCCCAAGUGGGAUUAGGUAGUUGGUUAGGUAAAGGCUGACCAAGCCGACGAUCUCUAGCUGGUCUGAGAGGAUGACCAGCCACACUGGAACUGAGACACGGUCCAGACUCCUACGGGAGGCAGCAGUGGGGAAUAUUGCACAAUGGGGGGAACCCUGAUGCAGCCAUGCCGCGUGAAUGAAGAAGGCCUUCGGGUUGUAAAGUUCUUUCGGUGACGAGGAAGGUUGAUAGGUUAAUAGCCUAUCAAAUUGACGUUAAUCACAGAAGAAGCACCGGCUAACUCCGUGCCAGCAGCCGCGGUAAUACGGGGGGUGCGAGCGUUAAUCGGAAUAACUGGGCGUAAAGGGCACGCAGGCGGUGACUUAAGUGAGAUGUGAAAGCCCCGAGCUUAACUUGGGAAUUGCAUUUCAUACUGGGUCGCUAGAGUACUUUAGGGAGGGGUAGAAUUCCACGUGUAGCGGUGAAAUGCGUAGAGAUGUGGAGGAAUACCGAAGGCGGAGGCAGCCCCUUGGGAAUGUACUGACGCUCAUGUGCGAAAGCGUGGGGAGCAAACAGGAUUAGAUACCCUGGUAGUCCACGCUGUAAACGAUGUCGAUUUGGGGAUUGGGCUUUGAGCUUGGUGCCCGUAGCUAACGUGAUAAAUCGACCGCCUGGGGAGUACGGCCGCAAGGUUAAAACUCAAAUGAAUUGACGGGGGCCCGCACAAGCGGUG